CGGGACGGGUGAGUAACGCGUGGGUAACCUGCCUCACACAGGGGGAUAACAGUCGGAAACGGCUGCUAAUACCGCAUAAGCGCACAGUACCGCAUGGUACAGUGUGAAAAACUCCGGUGGUGUGAGAUGGACCCGCGUCUGAUUAGCUAGUUGGCAGGGCAACGGCCUACCAAGGCGACGAUCAGUAGCCGACCUGAGAGGGUGACCGGCCACAUUGGGACUGAGACACGGCCCAA
RNAcentral lists this ribosomal RNA (236 nucleotides) under uncultured bacterium. Its description in RNAcentral is "partial 16S ribosomal RNA". It matches the Rfam family "Bacterial small subunit ribosomal RNA", at positions 100 to 334 of the family's 1533-position model. The record is from RNAcentral.